This 468-nucleotide ribosomal RNA is filed under the name uncultured bacterium. Its description in RNAcentral is "partial 16S ribosomal RNA". It matches the Rfam family "Bacterial small subunit ribosomal RNA", at positions 28 to 507 of the family's 1533-position model. The record is from RNAcentral.
GACGAACGCUGGCGGCGUGCUUAACACAUGCAAGUCGAACGGAAAGGCCCUGCUUUUGUGGGGUGCUCGAGUGGCGAACGGGUGAGUAACACGUGAGUAACCUGCCCUUGACUUUGGGAUAACUUCAGGAAACUGGGGCUGAUACCGGAUAGGAGCUCCUGCUGCAUGGUGGGGGUUGGAAAGUUUCGGCGGUUGGGGAUGGACUUGCGGCUUAUCAGCUUGUUGGUGGGGUAGUGGCUUACCAAGGUUUUGACGGGUAGCCGGCCUGGGAGGGUGACCGGCCACAUUGGGACUGAGAUACGGCCCAGACUCCUACGGGAGGCAGCAGUGGGGAAUAUUGCACAAUGGGCGGAAGCCUGAUGCAGCAACGCCGCGUGCGGGAUGACGGCCUUCGGGUUGUAAACCGCUUUCGCCUGUGACGAAGCGUGAGUGACGGUAAUGGGUAAAGAAGCACCGGCUAACUACGUG